This 465-nucleotide ribosomal RNA is filed under the name uncultured bacterium. RNAcentral describes it as "partial 16S ribosomal RNA". It matches the Rfam family "Bacterial small subunit ribosomal RNA", at positions 338 to 795 of the family's 1533-position model. The record is from RNAcentral.
CCUACGGGUGGCAGCAGUAGGGAAUCUUGCACAAUGGACGAAAGCCUGAUGGAGCAACGCCGCGUGAGGGAAGAAGGGUUUCGGCUCGUAAAGCUCUGUUGGUAGAGAAGAAAGAUAGAGGUAGUAACUGGCCUUUAUUUGACGGUAAUUACUCAGAAAGUCCCGGCUAACUACGUGCCAGCAGCCGCGGUAAUACGUCGGUGGCAAGCGUUGACCGGAUUUAUUGGGCGUAAAGCGAGUGCAGGCGGUUCAAUAAGUCUGAUGUGAAAGCUUUCGGCUUAACCGGAGAAUUGCAUCAGAAACUGUUGUACUUGAGUACAGGAGAGGUAAGUGGAACUCCAUGUGUAGCGGUGAAAUGCGUAGAUAUAUGGAAGAACACCAAUGGCGAAGGCGGCUCUCUGGUCUGCAACUGACGCUGAGGCUCGAAAGCGUGGGUAGCGAACAGGAUUAGAUACCCUGGUAGUC